GAUAAACGCUGGCGGCGUGCCUAAUACAUGCAAGUCGAACGGUAAGGCUUUCACAGAUUAUUUAACCUUGUAAGUCCCGAUUUUUCGGGAUACUGCCUGAGUUAUGCCACUGGCUAGUGGACAUAGUUGAAUAAUGCGUGAAAGUACACGAGUGGCGGACGGCUGAGUAACGCGUAGGAAUGUACCCCAAAGUGAGGGAUAAGCACCAGAAAUGGUGUCUAAUACCGCAUAUGGUCUAAGGAUUAAAGCGCACGUCGCGCUUUGGGAACAGCCUGCGUAUGAUUAGCUUGUUGGUAGUGUAAAAGACUACCAAGGCGACGAUCAUUAGCUGGUCUGAGAGGAUGAUCAGCCAGACUGGGACUGAGACACGGCCCAGACUCCUACGGGAGGCAGCAGUAGGGAAUUUUCCACAAUGGGCGAAAGCCUGAUGGAGCAACGCCGCGUGCAGGAUGAAGGCCUUCGGGUCGUAAACUGCUUUUAUUUGUGACGAUUAUGACAGUAGCAAAUGAAUAAGGAUCGGCUAACUACGUGCCAGCAGCCGCGGUCAUACGUAGGAUCCGAGCGUUAUCCGGAAUAACUGGGCGUAAAGAGUUGCGUAGGUGGCAUAGUAAGCGAGUAGUGAAAUCUUGUGGCUCAACCAUAAGGCUAUUGCUUGAACUGCUAAGCUAGAGUGCGAUAGAGGUAACUGGAAUUCCAAGUGUAGGAGUGAAAUCCGUAGAUAUUUGGAGGAACACCAAUGGCGUAGGCAGGUUACUGGAUCGCAACUGACACUGAUGCACGAAAGCGUGGGGAGCAAACGGGAUUAGAUACCCCGGUAGUCCACGCCCUAAACUAUGGAUGCUAGCUGUUAGGAGUAUCGACCCUCUUAGUAGCGAAGCUAACGCGUUAAGCAUCCCGCCUGAGUAGUACGAACGCAAGUUUAAAACUCAAAGGAAUUGACGGGGACCCGCACAAGCGGUGGAGCGUGUUGUUUAAUUCGAUGGUAAGCGAAGAACCUUACCCAGGUUUGACAUCCUUGGAAUUUCUCCGAAAGGAGAGAGUGCUUUAUUGAGCCAAGUGACAGGUGCUGCAUGGCCGUCGUCAGCUCGUGUCGUGAGAUGUUUGGUUAAGUCCAUCAACGAGCGCAACCCUUAUAGUUAGUUGAAUUUCUCUAGCUAGACUGCCCCGGUAACGGGGAGGAAGGGGGGGAUGAUGUCAGGUCAGUAUUGCCCUUACACCUGGGGCUACAAACACGCUACAAUGGCCGGUACAAAGGGCUGCCAACCCGCGAGGGGGAGCAAAUCCCAUCAAAGCCGGUCUCAGUUCGGAUUGCAGGCUGAAACCCGCCUGCAUGAAGCUGGAAUCGCUAGUAACGGUAGGUCAGCACACUACCGUGAAUACGUUCCCGGGUC
Molecule: ribosomal RNA, 1391 nt
Filed under: uncultured Candidatus Saccharibacteria bacterium
Lineage: Bacteria; Candidatus Saccharimonadota
Description: bacterial SSU rRNA
Rfam family: Bacterial small subunit ribosomal RNA
Source: RNAcentral